RNAcentral lists this ribosomal RNA (157 nucleotides) under uncultured Streptococcus sp. RNAcentral describes it as "partial 16S ribosomal RNA". It matches the Rfam family "Bacterial small subunit ribosomal RNA", at positions 1227 to 1382 of the family's 1533-position model. Lineage: Bacteria; Bacillati; Bacillota; Bacilli; Lactobacillales; Streptococcaceae. The record is from RNAcentral.
ACAAUGGUUGGUACAACGAGUUGCGAGUCGGUGACGGCGAGCUAAUCUCUUAAAGCCAAUCUCAGUUCGGAUUGUAGGCUGCAACUCGCCUACAUGAAGUCGGAAUCGCUAGUAAUCGCGGAUCAGCACGCCGCGGUCGAAUACGUUCCCGGGCCUU